GAUGAACGCUGACAGAAUGCUUAACACAUGCAAGUCUUUGGCGAAGCUGUGCUUGCACAGCCUAGCCAAGGCGGACGGGUGAGUAACGCGUAAGGAACUUGCCCUGCAGUCAGGGAUAACAGACGGAAACGACUGAUAAGACCUGGUAAAGUCAGGCGGACUCAUGUCCAGCCUGAUGAAAAGUGAUGCUGCAGGAGAGCCUUGCGUCCUAUUAGCUUGUUGGUGGGGUAACGGCCCACCAAGGCGAUGAUAGGUAGCCGGCCUGAGAGGGUGGACGGCCACAAGGGGAAUGAGAUACGGCCCUUACUCCUACGGGAGGCAGCAGUGGAGAAUAUUGGACAAUGGGGGCAACCCUGAUCCAGCAAUUCUGUGUGCACGAUGAAGGUUUUCGGAGUGUAAAGUGCUUUCAGCAGGGAAGAAAAAAAUGACGGUACCUGCAGAAGAAGCGACGGCUAAAUACGUG
Molecule: ribosomal RNA, 463 nt
Filed under: uncultured bacterium
Lineage: Bacteria
Description: partial 16S ribosomal RNA
Rfam family: Bacterial small subunit ribosomal RNA
Source: RNAcentral